GACAGAGGUGCCAAGCGUUAGGCGGAAUCAUUGGGCGUAAAGCGCACGUAGGCGGUUCGUUAUGUCGGAUGUGAAAGCCCUUGGCUUAACCGAGGAAGUGCAUCCGAAACUGGCGAGCUAGAGUACGAAAGAGGAUCGCGGAAUUCCCGGUGUAGAGGUGAAAUUCGUAGAUAUCGGGAGGAACACCGGUGGCGAAGGCGGCGAUCUGGGUCGAUACUGACGCUGAGGUGCGAAAGCGUGGGGAGCAAACAGG
This 253-nucleotide ribosomal RNA is filed under the name uncultured bacterium. RNAcentral's name for it is "partial 16S ribosomal RNA". It matches the Rfam family "Bacterial small subunit ribosomal RNA", at positions 524 to 776 of the family's 1533-position model. The record is from RNAcentral.